Molecule: long non-coding RNA, 455 nt
Filed under: Mus spretus (western wild mouse)
Lineage: Eukaryota; Metazoa; Chordata; Mammalia; Rodentia; Muridae
Description: predicted gene 45004 (ENSMSPG00010024251.1)
Source: RNAcentral
CUCGACUCCUGGAGGGAAGAGUGGUAACUACUGGUUUGGGACAGACAUUGAAAGAGCUCCUCCACAUCGUGGAAACAUGACAGAAGUGUAACCCAGGCUGUGACAAGGUUAAUAAGCCAGCAUUCAUCAACUUCACUGGGGGCACGAAUCUAAACCAGUGGGGAGAAAAUAAUUCCAAAAGUGAGCGCAACAUGAGCCAGUCAACACAACACUGAGGUGGGGUCACGAGCUGUCUGCUUCUUGCUGUCUUUGCCAAGGACAUCUGAUAGCAUGGCAUACUGGAGCUGGGAGUAUCAGUUUGGCCAUUACCUCAUUGCUAAACAGAUGCUACGAAUCCUGAUCAUACACCUUUGCACACUAGAAGUUAGAACCAAAUGCUUUCUUCUCACUGAAGCAAACUGAGGAAGGAGGUGCAAUUUGAAUUUCACUCUGAAAUAAAAAUUUAUGAAUUCUCA